UGGGGAAUAUUGGACAAUGGGCGAAAGCCUGAUCCAGCCAUGCCGCGUGUGUGAAGAAGGUCUUCGGAUUGUAAAGCACUUUAAGUUGGGAGGAAGGGCAGUAAGCGAAUACCUUGCUGUUUUGACGUUACCGACAGAAUAAGCACCGGCUAACUCUGUGCCAGCAGCCGCGGUAAUACAGAGGGUGCAAGCGUUAAUCGGAAUUACUGGGCGUAAAGCGCGCGUAGGUGGUUCGUUAAGUUGAAUGUGAAAGCCCCGGGCUCAACCUGGGAACUGCAUCCAAAACUGGCGAGCUAGAGUAGGGCAGAGGGUGGUGGAAUUUCCUGUGUGGCGGUGAAAUGCGUAGAUAUAGGAAGGAACACCAGUGGCGAAGGCGACCACCUGGGCUCAUACUGACACUGAGGUGCGAAAGCAUGGGGAGCAAACAGG
Molecule: ribosomal RNA, 429 nt
Filed under: Pseudomonadota bacterium
Lineage: Bacteria; Pseudomonadati; Pseudomonadota
Description: Proteobacteria bacterium partial 16S ribosomal RNA
Rfam family: Bacterial small subunit ribosomal RNA
Source: RNAcentral